GCCAUAAUGUUGAAAAGAAGUUCAUAGAAUAGAUUGUUUCUGUGAUAUACUUCCCUACUUUGAAGUUAGGUUAGGUUAUUUUGUCAAAUAGUGUGAAAUACAAUUUUAAAUUUAAUUAAUAGAAAAUCGUUUAACAAGGAUAAAUUGAAUUAAAAAC
Vespula pensylvanica (western yellowjacket) is the source of this 157-nucleotide long non-coding RNA. RefSeq lists it as uncharacterized. NCBI's taxonomy places the organism in Eukaryota, Metazoa, Arthropoda, Insecta, Hymenoptera, Vespidae. The transcript is spliced from 2 exons. The record is from RefSeq and is a predicted model, not a curated record.